GGGUUGUGAGGUUAAGCGACUAAGCGUACACGGUGGAUGCCCUGGCAGUCAGAGGCGAUGAAGGGCGUGCUAAUCUGCGAUAAGCGCCGGUAAGGUGAUAUGAACCGUUAUAACCGGCGAUACCCGAAUGGGGAAACCCAGUGUGAUUCGUCACACUAUCAUUAACUGAAUCCAUAGGUUAAUGAGGCGAACCGGGGGAACUGAAACAUCUAAGUACCCCGAGGAAAAGAAAUCAACCGAGAUUCCCCCAGUAGCGGCGAGCGAACGGGGAGGAGCCCAGAGCCUGAAUCAGCAUGUGUGUUAGUGGAAGCGUCUGGAAAGGCGCGCGAUACAGGGUGACAGCCCCGUACACAAAAGCGCAUAUGCUGUGAGCUCGAUGAGUAGGGCGGGACACGUGGUAUCCUGUCUGAAUAUGGGGGGACCAUCCUCCAAGGCUAAAUACUCCUGACUGACCGAUAGUGAACCAGUACCGUGAGGGAAAGGCGAAAAGAACCCCGGCGAGGGGAGUGAAAAAGAACCUGAAACCGUGUACGUACAAGCAGUGGGAGCCCCACCACUAAGCCAGUGGUGAACUCCACAUACGCAUCCUUUGCUGAGGAGACGGUUAACGGAGCGAAAGCGACGUUCAACCUCAAAAGAAGCAGAGGGGGCUUAGUGGUGGGGUGACUGCGUACCUUUUGUAUAAUGGGUCAGCGACUUAUAUUCUGUA
RNAcentral lists this ribosomal RNA (709 nucleotides) under Salmonella enterica. Its description in RNAcentral is "partial 23S ribosomal RNA". It matches the Rfam family "Bacterial large subunit ribosomal RNA", at positions 1 to 639 of the family's 2925-position model. Lineage: Bacteria; Pseudomonadati; Pseudomonadota; Gammaproteobacteria; Enterobacterales; Enterobacteriaceae. The record is from RNAcentral.